UUGACUUUAUCAGACUCAACUAAUAAAAUCACUCAGUGAUGGUUAAAUGAUAGUCAUAAUACUAAUCUCUUGCAUCUAGGUGGCAUUCUGAAUUUCUCAAAUCACUCUCUGAUACCUUAUCUCAAGAGAUCUUCAUAGCAACCCACUGAGGUUAUGACAACUCCAUCAGGAAAGAAAACAAUCCUAUCAUGCUGAUCAAGGCGAGGGCCAUCAUCAGGUCACACAUCUAAAGACGGAAAACAAGGCCUGCUGGACUUGGCUCCCACCAGCUUGGAAAGCCAGUUGUUAAAUUUUCAAUAUGAGGCAUCUGAGGCCACAGCAGAAGAAGUGAUGCCUGCAAUGGAAAGGCUGCUUUCUCAAUCAAAGGCCAUUGAGUCCAACCAUCUCGUUUUACAGGUG
This 399-nucleotide long non-coding RNA is filed under the name Monodelphis domestica (gray short-tailed opossum). RNAcentral describes it as "lncRNA (ENSMODG00000049750.1)". Lineage: Eukaryota; Metazoa; Chordata; Mammalia; Didelphimorphia; Didelphidae. The record is from RNAcentral.